UACGGGAGGCAGCAGUAAGGAAUAUUGGUCAAUGGAGGCAACUCUGAACCAGCCAUGCCGCGUGCAGGAUGACUGCCCUAUGGGUUGUAAACUGCUUUUGUCAGGGAAUAAACCUUUCUACGUGUAGGAAGCUGAAUGUACCUGAAGAAUAAGGAUCGGCUAACUCCGUGCCAGCAGCCGCGGUAAUACGGAGGAUCCAAGCGUUAUCCGGAUUUAUUGGGUUUAAAGGGUGCGUAGGCGGUCCUAUAAGUCAGUGGUGAAAGACGGCAGCUUAACUGUCGCAGUGCCUUUGAUACUGUAGGACUUGAAUCUAUUUGAAGUGGGCGGAAUAAGACAAGUAGCGGUGAAAUGCAUAGAUAUGUCUUAGAACUCCGAUUGCGAAGGCAGCUCA
This 391-nucleotide ribosomal RNA is filed under the name Sphingobacterium sp. RNAcentral describes it as "bacterial SSU rRNA". It matches the Rfam family "Bacterial small subunit ribosomal RNA", at positions 340 to 728 of the family's 1533-position model. Lineage: Bacteria; Pseudomonadati; Bacteroidota; Sphingobacteriia; Sphingobacteriales; Sphingobacteriaceae. The record is from RNAcentral.